Molecule: long non-coding RNA, 1037 nt
Filed under: Homo sapiens (human)
Lineage: Eukaryota; Metazoa; Chordata; Mammalia; Primates; Hominidae
Description: HSALNT0388107
Source: RNAcentral
GCGAGAGGAGGGCAGAGAUGUGGACCCACACAGAGGCCACGCCGGGGCUGAGCAAGGACGGCCCCGGAUAGGGCGGGCUUAGAGAGGGGCACGGAGGCUGGACCCUGGCCUUGAAGGAGCCCCUGCAAGGUGGGGGCUGCACUGGGGUUGUGGCAGGGGAACAUGUGGACCACAGAAAGCAUCACACCUGGGCUGGUGCUGGACAUCCCCAGCACCAACCACACCUUCUCAUCGCCAGGGCCUCCUGUUCAGGCUGCUUGGACUCUCAAGCUCUGUCUGCUUUGUUCCUACUUGGCAGAACUGGGCGCCUCUCAGCACUCACUUGGAGACGUGGGGUCGGAACUCUGGUGGCCUGGUGCCUCUCCCAGCCAGGACCUGGAUGAAUGAACACACACCCUUCCUUUCCCAGGCUCUGCCGUGUCUUCUGUCAAAGGUCCCUCCUGCUACCACCACGGAUGCCACCUAAUCCCUGCCCUCUUGAAGAGCUACUUCCCUCCUCCCUUCCUCCCCUGCCCAAGAUCUCCCUGCCCCUCAAGUCCUGGCUCCAGAGGGGAGUCAGGAGGCCCCCGGAAGAAAGCGUCUCCCUCCCGGCUCUCUGCUUGCCAUCACCCAGGAGGCCGACGUGGCCAGGGUGACUGCAGGACAGCUUGUGUCUUUGCAAGUCAAGGUGGGACAGCUUCGUCCCAAAGACCGAGACUACAGGACUUGACGCCGCAAUCCUCCAGGGUCGGAUGGACCCAGCGCAGAGGAGAUUCACGAUGGACUGCCCUCCCUCCCCCGCCCAUUCUCCACUAAACUAAGGAGCCCCUUUUCCCUGUUUUCCUGCUUUCCCAGGGAGGGGCUGAGCUGGGCAAGGGAUGAAACGCCCAGCACGGGAAUCCGACCCAGGCUCUCCGAGCCUUCGCACUGGGACAACUUUCUGGAAAGGGUAGGCAGACAGAAGGGUAGAGGGGACGUUGGAGGCUGCGCUAUCGGCAGCCUUGCUGGAACGCCCUGCUCCUAGGGGCCCCGAGAGAGCCUGCACAUACGGCCCAGGG